Molecule: transfer RNA, 72 nt
Filed under: Pseudomonadota bacterium
Lineage: Bacteria; Pseudomonadati; Pseudomonadota
Also listed under: 2 other names
Description: tRNA-Gly
Rfam family: tRNA
About the family: Transfer RNA (tRNA) molecules are approximately 80 nucleotides in length. Their secondary structure includes four short double-helical elements and three loops (D, anti-codon, and T loops). Further hydrogen bonds mediate the characteristic L-shaped molecular structure. tRNAs have two regions of fundamental functional importance: the anti-codon, which is responsible for specific mRNA codon recognition, and the 3' end, to which the tRNAs corresponding amino acid is attached (by aminoacyl-tRNA synthetases). tRNAs cope with the degeneracy of the genetic code in two manners: having more than one tRNA (with a specific anti-codon) for a particular amino acid; and 'wobble' base-pairing, i.e. permitting non-standard base-pairing at the 3rd anti-codon position.
Source: RNAcentral
GCGGCGGUAGCUCAGGGGUAGAGCACCAGCUUCCCAAGCUGGGGGUCGCGGGUUCAAAUCCCGUCCGCCGCU